RNAcentral lists this ribosomal RNA (251 nucleotides) under uncultured Bacillota bacterium. RNAcentral's name for it is "uncultured Firmicutes bacterium partial 16S ribosomal RNA". It matches the Rfam family "Bacterial small subunit ribosomal RNA", at positions 796 to 1041 of the family's 1533-position model. The record is from RNAcentral. Lineage: Bacteria; Bacillati; Bacillota.
CACGCCGUAAACGAUGGGUACUAGGUGUAGGAGGUAUCGACCCCUUCUGUGCCGGAGUUAACACAAUAAGUACCCCGCCUGGGGAGUACGGCCGCAAGGUUAAAACUCAAAGGAAUUGACGGGGGCCCGCACAAGCGGUGGAGCAUGUGGUUUAAUUCGACGCAACGCGAAGAACCUUACCAGGUCUUGACAUCCCCUGACAACAUCAGAGAUGAUGUAUUUUAUCUUCGGAUAGACAGGGAGACAGGUGG